UGUAUACUUCCCUUAGAAGAGAAUGUUAACUUGGUUGUAAGACUCUUUGGCUAUUGAGCAGGAUGCCAAGAUAAAUAGGACUCAAGACACAAAUGAUUAAAGGAUCAAGCAGCCUUUAUUGCACAGGUGGUCACAGAGGCGGAAGAAGCCAAAGGCCAUGUCCUGCACAGUGCAACUGCCUCAGAAGUGCAGGAGGCAGGUUGUUUGAUCCCAUUCUGCCCUUAGAACACAUCGUGCUGUUCAAAGGCUCCCCCACCACACUCCACACAUGCACACAGACACACAAUGAGGAACGUGGGAGUCACAUUGUCAUUGUGCCACCUUCUCGAGCUCACCUACUCUUUGCAAGAGAAUGUCAAGAUUUUAAAUAGCAUUUUACUUACAUCAUUUGAAACGGGAAAUGCCAUUCAUCAUCAAGCUACUAUCUGUUUAAAUACUUUGUGCAUGGUGAUUUGGUAUGGUUGAUACCUGUAAUUAAUGAGAUGGGGUCUGUGAUUUACCUCAAAACAAGUUUUCUUUAGGGGCCCCAUAUGAUGGAGUGCUCUUUGCAUAAUAUGCUUCCUUAAUGAGCACAACUGUUUUUUGACCAAAAUGUUAUCUGCAAGCUUAGCCCAUUAAUCACAUUGUUAAAUACAUACCAAAUAAAUAAUUGUGUAAAUAAAUAUUUUUUAAUCUGGA
This is a long non-coding RNA of Neofelis nebulosa (Clouded leopard), 678 nucleotides long. RefSeq lists it as uncharacterized. The record is from RefSeq and is a predicted model, not a curated record. Lineage: Eukaryota; Metazoa; Chordata; Mammalia; Carnivora; Felidae. The transcript has 2 exons.